This 1362-nucleotide long non-coding RNA is filed under the name Apteryx haastii (Great spotted kiwi). RNAcentral describes it as "lncRNA (ENSAHAG00000003657.1)". Lineage: Eukaryota; Metazoa; Chordata; Aves; Apterygiformes; Apterygidae. The record is from RNAcentral.
AUGGGUACCUGCCAAAUGGAUUCGCACGUGGAAAGAAAAGGUUUCAGAGCCAUCAACAUCAGAAUAACGCUCUUUUUUCUCCUCAUGCAUUUCACAAUCAAUGAUGGACGACUGGUACCUGUAGAAUUGGCAGAGUCUCAAGCUCGAGCGAACAUGUGGGUAGAAUGGGCCAAUCGUUCUGGUAUUGAUGAUUUUUGUUUAUCCUUACACCAAGUAGGUAAUCCUUUUAAAACCUGUCUUAUAGGAAUUCCAUAUGUAAAUUUGUCUGAAUUUCUUGAUUGGAUAGACCCGCCAGUACCGAUGAAUGAAACCAUUAUUGCUCAGACUGCCAUUUCUAAUCAUUGGAGUUACCCUUCGACUGUAAUAGCUUUAAUAGUUAAAUAUCUGAAAAAAACCGUUUUGCCACCCCAGGAAUUAGAUCUAUUGGGCUCUCAAAGUUCUAGCGGUUGUAUUAAAUUUAGUACUAUGAGUGUAAAUGAGGAAGAUACCCGAAUAACUCCAACUAACUAUGUAUAUUACAAUGAAAGUUAUUGUAACUUCUCAAUACCCGACAUUCCUUAUGAUGUUACAAAGGCAAAAGCUUUGCCACUUGGGUAUUUUUUGAUUUGUGGCGAUCGCGCAUGGCCGGGAAUACCAAAACUGGCCUUUGGGGGACCGUGUUACAUAGGCAAAUUAACUCUGAUGAUGCCACGAAAGGAACAUAUACAGUAUUUAUAUAAAUUAGCCACCUCAACAGAACAGAGUCACCGACAGAAACGAACGACAACAUUGUCGCGAUCUGUAUUGUCAGCAAAUUGUAGUGAUAAUGUCAUUUUAUGGGAUACUCCUUCCUCUGUACUAUCAGCUUUAUUUGUUCCGCCUCUUGCCUUAACACAUUUAUCAUCAACAAUAAAUGCUUUAACAUGCUGGACAGGGAAACAAAUAAAUUUGACGUCACAAAUUUUAUACGAUUUAGCUACUGAUGCAGACAGUGUACGUAAAGCUACUCUUCAAAAUCGRGCUGCUAUUGAUUUUUUAUUGUUAGCACAUGGACAUGGCUGUGAGGAUUUUGCUGAUAUGUGUUGUUUUAAUUUAUCGGAUCAUUCACAAUCAAUACAUGAUAAGUUAAAACAACUAAAUGAUAACAUGCAAAAAUUACAAAUGCAAGAAGAUCCACUGGAUGCUUGGCUAAGAUCCCUUGGGGUUAGUGGAUGGUGGCAGACUUUGUUAAAAUAUGGAUGCCUUAUAUUGAUUUCAAUUAUAUGUAUUUUAAUAAUCUUUCCAUGUAUAUUGCAGUGUGCCUUGUCUAUGUUGCAACAAAUCUCAUCCUCUGUUUUUCAAAAACAAAAAGGUGGAGUUGUGGGGUUUGCUGCGGUGAAAUAA